Molecule: ribosomal RNA, 478 nt
Filed under: uncultured bacterium
Lineage: Bacteria
Description: partial 16S ribosomal RNA
Rfam family: Bacterial small subunit ribosomal RNA
Source: RNAcentral
GACGAACGCUGGCGGCGUGCUUAACACAUGCAAGUCGAACGGUAAGGCCCUUCGGGGUACACGAGUGGCGAACGGGUGAGUAACACGUGGGUGAUCUGCCCUGCACUUCGGGAUAAGCCUGGGAAACUGGGUCGAAUACCGGAUAGGACCACUGCAUGCAUGGGUGGUGGUGGAAAGCUUUUGCGGUGUGGGAUGGGCCCGCGGCCUAUGAGCUUGUUGGUGGGGUGAUGGCCUACCAAGGCGACGACGGGUAGCCGGCCUGAGAGGGUGACCGGCCACACUGGGACUGAGAUACGGCCCAGACUCCUACGGGAGGCAGCAGUGGGGAAUAUUGCACAAUGGGCGCAAGCCUGAUGCAGCGACGCCGCGUGAGGGAUGACGGCCUUCGGGCUGUAAACCUCUUUCAGCACCGACGAAGCGCAAGUGACGGUAGGUGCAGAAGAAGGACCGGCCAACUACGUGCCAGCCGCCGCCGUAA